CGAACGGGUGAGUAAUGCGUGACCAACCUGCCCCAUGCUCCAGAAUAGUUCUUGGAAACGGGUGGUAAUGCUGGAUGCUCCAACUUGACGCAUGUCUUGUUGGGAAAGUGUUUAGUGGCAUGGGAUGGGGUCGCGUCCUAUCAGCUUGUAGGCGGGGUAAUGGCCACCUAGGCUUCGACGGGUAGCCGGCUGAGAGGGCGGACGGCCACAUUGGGACUGAGAUACGGCCCAGACUCCUACGGGAGGCAGCAGAC
This 254-nucleotide ribosomal RNA is filed under the name uncultured Gardnerella sp. RNAcentral's name for it is "partial 16S ribosomal RNA". It matches the Rfam family "Bacterial small subunit ribosomal RNA", at positions 99 to 354 of the family's 1533-position model. Lineage: Bacteria; Bacillati; Actinomycetota; Actinomycetes; Bifidobacteriales; Bifidobacteriaceae. The record is from RNAcentral.